CGCAAAAGGAUCUCCCAAAUUCAACUUGGCGCAGGCUGCUGCGUUAUUAAGAAAGAAAGGACUUCUUGGUGUUAAAAUGGAUUCACCAAAGUUGUGAAACAAAGAGCACAAUGGAGUUUGGGACUUGAAAAAGGUCUGGUGGAGAUACUUAUGGAGCACGAUACUCCUUACCACCGAGGGCAAAAUGGAUGGAGCAAGGAAACUUGGAACUUGAUGGUGACAAAAUUCCAU
Hordeum vulgare subsp. vulgare (domesticated barley) is the source of this 231-nucleotide long non-coding RNA. RefSeq lists it as uncharacterized. The transcript is spliced from 2 exons. The record is from RefSeq and is a predicted model, not a curated record. NCBI's taxonomy places the organism in Eukaryota, Viridiplantae, Streptophyta, Magnoliopsida, Poales, Poaceae.